This is a non-coding RNA of Anas platyrhynchos (mallard), 1481 nucleotides long. The record is from RefSeq and is a predicted model, not a curated record. Lineage: Eukaryota; Metazoa; Chordata; Aves; Anseriformes; Anatidae.
UUCCUCCUCCUCUCCUUUCCCCUAUUCAGACCAGCUAUGUUCCAAAAUGGCUACCCGAGGCGGAAAACAGAAGUUCUAACUCCCUGUUUUGUGUUAUUUACUAGAACAGAAAAUUAUGAAGCGCUUGUUACAUGAAAGAAGUAUUUUUCAGUUACUAAUAUUUCAUAUUUAUUCUUUUCUAGGAAAGCCUUCAAUGUAAUGCACCACAGGACAGGAAGAUAGUAAAAUCAGUUACCUCGCCCACAUGGUACUAUAAGAACACUGCAAUAUUUUUAUUGGCAACAAGCAGGAUUUUUGCCAACUCUUAACAGAAGAAAAACAAAGCUUCUUAAUAACUGCUUCUGACAACUGUGUGGCUUGCAUCUGUUCCUAUACUACGUUUUUCAUCCAGGGCAAUAGUUUUCUAUUCUGGGGGUGGAAAAGGACCUCAAACAUCAGAAGAUGAGCAGAGGCCACAGUGCUGUCUCUCUACAUGCAGCCUUUUUACAGGUACAAUUUCAUUUUGGUUUAUCCCACAGCAAGCCUAAACAUUCCUUAAUAACUCUCUGGCUUUCUUCUGUUAGUUUAAAGGGGGAACCUACUUAUUGAGAAAGUUGCUGUCAUUUUUCCUACACGUUAAGAGAAUCUUUCUUUAGGGCUUGCCCGGUCCCCUGUGACUUGAAAAGUAGGACUCCCUGUUCUGGGUCACAAAUUCUAGUCAUUGACAUGUUAGUGUAACAUGAAGUCACAGACAGGCAGAUAAUCUCAAUCCCUCCUUUUUCAAGUGAGAAGAUCAUCAUUUUCUCUAAUUUACCAAGGGGAAAUGUGGCUGUUUUCUAUAAAUACAACGUGACAAUAUCAAGUCAGGAAAAAUGACUUGUAAACUUUUCCAAAUCAAUUUCUAAAUUUGGAACCCAAGAAAAGUAGUGUUUGUUUUGAAGUUUCUCAAAAUAAACUGGUUUCCUGGUAAAAGUUUACUGGUAACCUUAGUUACCAGUAGUUUUUAAUUUCAGAUUACCAUAUUAAGUGUUCUGAGUGACCUCUACUGGUUGACUAGAUAAAAUUAGCCCUGCACAUCUUUUCCAAGUCUUGCAAAUAGGAACAACAAUCAACUCUGCUGCUGAAAAUAGCACAAAUUUCUUGGUUAAUUAACAGAAGACAAUUUUUUUGCCUAACAAUCUUGACAUGUUAUCUACAAUGUACAGUUUAAAAAAAAAAAAAGACAAUUACUUGCGUAUUGAUCAUUUUCCUAUUUUACUAUGGUUUAUCUCUCUUUACAUAUUGUUACUACCUGAAGCUGCAACUGGACUAAGAGAACUUCAAAUCUGGUGAGUUUUGCUACUCACCAGGCAUACCCACAUUUCUGUCACAAACACUGCAGCACAGAAUUAAAACCUACCAUUAACCUCUUGGCACUGGCUAAUUCACAAGAGGAUGCACAGAUGAGGGAAUUGCUAACUAACAUAUUGGCAUUCCAUAUUAAAGAGGUAAAGAUGGGUCAG